GACGAACGCUGGCGGCGUGCUUAACACAUGCAAGUCGAACGGAAAGGCCCUGCUUUUGUGGGGUUCUCGAGUGGCGAACGGGUGAGUAACACGUGUGUAACCUGCCCUUGACUUUGGGAUAACUUCAGGAAACUGGGGCUAAUACCGGAUAGGAGCUCCUGCUGCAUGGUGGGGGGUGGAAGGUUUCGGGGGUUGGGGAUGGACUCGCGGCUUAUCCGCUUGUUGGUGGGGUAGUGGCUUACCAAGGCUUUGACGGGUAGCCGGCCUGAGAGGGGCACCGGCCACAUUGGGACUGGGAUACGGCCCAGACUCCUACGGGAGGCAGAAGUGGGGAAUAUUGACCAAUGGGCGGAAGCCUGAUGCAGAAAGGCCGCGUGCGGGAUGACGGCCUUGGGGUUGUAAACCGCUUUCGCCUGUAACGAAGCGUGAGUGACGGUAAUGGGUAAAGAAGCACCGGCUAACUACGUG
RNAcentral lists this ribosomal RNA (468 nucleotides) under uncultured bacterium. RNAcentral describes it as "partial 16S ribosomal RNA". It matches the Rfam family "Bacterial small subunit ribosomal RNA", at positions 28 to 507 of the family's 1533-position model. The record is from RNAcentral.